CGCCUCAACUCCACCUCCGCCUCCAAAUCCGAUCGAUCUCCGAGGCCUCCAGAUCCCCGGCGGCCGGAAGACGGCGAGCUCAAGGCGGUGGACACCCCUCGCAGCGCUCGUCUCCUCUCGCUCUCCCAAUCCCCUUACCAGUUCUACAAUGAGUAUCUCAUUGCGGGAUCGUAUUAGAAAGAGGAGGGAAGAAGAAGAAGAAGAUGACAUGAUGAUAUUUAUUGGGAAGCAAAGUAUUGGAAAAAACUGCAUUUAGUUGAUGAUCCACUAGAAGUUUAAGCUAUGUCCCACUCGAGUCUUUAUACAGUGGUGAUGUCUCUUGUUAUGCUAUGUUCACUGCAUGAUUUUUGUUUUUGGCAUGUCUACAACUGGUUCAGCUGUUCAGCUGCUCAUUGUGGUUGCAGUCAACCAUAAGAUUGUUGUCUUAGCACCUUUGAUAUGUCUUAGCAAAAACUCCCAGUUCACUCUUUGAUAUGUCUAGAUUGAACCAGUUCACUCUUUAAUAUGUCUUAGCAUUGAACUUGUUUUAGAUUCAACAAAUAUUCUUGUCACGGUGCCAGCAAUAUAUUAAAUCUACAUUGUG
This 583-nucleotide long non-coding RNA is filed under the name Zea mays. RNAcentral's name for it is "drought-responsive long non-coding RNA". The record is from RNAcentral. Lineage: Eukaryota; Viridiplantae; Streptophyta; Magnoliopsida; Poales; Poaceae.